Molecule: non-coding RNA, 2364 nt
Organism: Lactuca sativa (garden lettuce)
Lineage: Eukaryota; Viridiplantae; Streptophyta; Magnoliopsida; Asterales; Asteraceae
Source: RefSeq, a predicted model, not a curated record
UUAAUUUCUCCGUUUUGGGUUUAUUCCACCAUCGCCAACCUUCACGAUACGUGGCUUCUGUAUUUCCUCACCGCCUCACCUGCCACUCCUCUUAUGCCAUCUUCAUGAUCCACCGCCUACUUCUCUCCAUGUUUUACGUCUUUUCUCCCAAAGAGGGUUGCUUUACCGGGGUUAAGGUACCGCUUCUAUCAUCUUAGUAGACAACCUUCCCAAUCCAUAUCCACUGCUUCUUUCUUCCACAGUAAAGUUCCAUCCACCGACUCCACUGCCUGCUUUCAUCUGCAUUUCUUUCGUCACGAUCCCUUCCCUAUCUGCUAUUCGACUCUUCAAUUCCGCCAUAGCCGACGCCGACGAGUAUGCGUACACCACAGACGUCUCCGACGAGUCUUCCCCCACCAUUGUAGAAGCCGGCGAGCCCUAAUUUCGUGUACCUUUACUUCAACUCCGGCCACAUCCACACCCGACGAGUCAUGCUUCGAUUCCGGAUACAUUCAAUGUCGGGUCUCCCUGUGCGAUUCAUUGUUAAUAGACUUUGUGUGAGAUUAAAGUCACCUCUUUUCUCCCCUCUCUUUUCUUCUUAUGAUGGUACUGGAAUUCAAUGCUAUUGCUCAAAUGAAAAUCAACAGGUACAACACAACUAAUUUUGAGUUUCUUACUUCCCACUAUUGUUGUUGGUUGCAGCCUCAAAUCAACCAGCGUUCUCCUCUACCAUCCUCUGUUUUAGACCCUAAUCCGGGUAACCUUUCGUUCGUGUUUUCUUCUUUCUCCAUGUCUACUGUAUGGUCUAAAGAUGCAUAAAUUGGUGUGAAAUCAAGAUCAGAGACGAUAAUGGAAACUACAAUCAUCUAUCAUUCUUUGGGAAAGGUACCCACUUUUUUUUGUUACUUUUGUAACAUUUUUCAUAAUUUACAUCAUAAUUUUAGUUUUGCAUCAUAUUUGGUGUGUCAAUGAGUUAUGUGCCUGUGAAUUACGAUGAUUUUGGUGUUUGUUGCUGCAUUAUGGUUACAGUUUUACAUGGAAUGUGGGAAAGAAGUUCAGUUAAAGGUAAAUUUCAUAUUUUUUUUACUUCACUGCUCUUUAGAAAUUGGGUCAUCUACUUUCUUUUAGUUUUUGUUUAAAGUCAACAUUUCGAUAGAGCUUGAGAAUGACAUGACAUGAUAUAACUACCUAAAAUACCCAAGAGAUCAAAUAUGAGUUUUUCUUAAAAAAAAUUGCUCCAAUGGAUAAAUACUCAUGAAUCCAACAUGCUCAGAUGAAAACUCUAUAGUUGGAGACUGAUUUUCUACUGGGUUUUUUUUGGUAUCAGGUAGUUUUGGGGAUUCAUGUAUUUUUUCCUAAUUUGAGGUUAGAUUCCACUGGAAUUAAACCAAUCUCUCGCCCAUGUUCAUUUGUUCCUUUGGUAAAUUAUAGAUUUUUAUUAAUACUUUCUGGUGUGUAAGUUCUUUUCUGUUUUUAGUUUUGGACUCGCGAAGGUAUUGGAUUCGAUUUUACGGUUUUAUUGAAGGCUUAAUUUGGGGUUUUUUUAGUGUUGGAUACCUAUAAUCACUUUCUCAAUCUAAUCUUUUGGUUGGUACUAAAUUUGUAAGGUUAUGUGAUUUAUCAUGUAUAUGUAAGGUCUUGGAACUCCAAACCAGUUAAAAAUUUUAACUCACAUCCGGUGUGGUGAUUGUUACUAUCUGAUGAAAGCAAAAGUAGCACAAGAGGGAGGUUCAGCAGGACUUAUGUUUAUAAGUGAUACCUAAGGUUGUACAUAUAUUUAUAAAUUUUGUUGCUUGCAUGAAAUGAAUGAAUAAAUAAUAAUGAUGGGGCACCAUUGAAUAUUUAAGUCUGUGUUGCAUGUAUUGUGGAGAUGAGUUGCUCUGAAAAAAGUGAGUUGGACAUGCAUAUUCCCGUUGUUAUGAUCUCUAUCUGGCAAAGGCAAAGUGGAAGUUGUAGUAUAUGCACCGGAAAGCCCAUUGAUUGACCAUGUAUCAACAUUUUUAUGGUUGAUAGCAGCUGGAACAAUAGUAUGUGCUUAACUUUGGUCUAAUAUCACUAAAAUUAAUGACACCAAUCAACCCUACAACCAACUCUCACGAAAGGUUGAGGAGGAGGAGAAUUAAAUUAUUGAGAUGAUUUGGUGCUGCUGUAUUUGUUUGUCAUCUUGGUUUGUAUGGCUGCUCAUUGUUUUUUUCGGCAUUGGAGCUGUCGAGGGGAUGCUUUCCUGUAUAUAGUAUAGUAGCACUCUUAAAAAGGUUUUUUUUUUUUUUGUGAAGGCUUAAUGGUCAACAUCAACUUUAUGUAUCAUAUAUAAUAUGUAUUUAUUGUUGCAGCAAAUAUAGAUGUUGUGGAAAAAAAGAUAAGUGAAUGUGCCAUUUUUUGGGA